GUGUGUGUAUCCAGUGCCGAAGAUGGGAUGGUUCUCGAGUGACGAGAUCGUCACCAAUAACGCAACCUGUCCCCCGCAAGACAAUUAUCACUUGACACAGGCAAUAGCGCUCUGCGUACUAGCAGGUAUUGCUGUUGCAUACAUAGUGAUAAAGGCUAUAAUAAAGGCGAACAAACAUCACACAGUAAGAGUGGUUGAAAGAGCGGCUCGCGUGGCCAGCAUCAACACAGUUGGAAAGAUUCGGCCAACGUGAAUCCCGCGCUGGUCAAGAAGACAAAGUGAACGUGAUAUGUUAGAAAAGUGUUCGAUAUGGCAGAAAUGUUGAAACUAAUUAACGAGAUAUUUGCGAAACGAGACAAUGGGACAAUAUCCAUAACGAACUCUCGAUUGUCUAAGCAAUUUCUUCAGCUACUAAUCAAAGAAGAAUUUGUCGAAGUGCAAAAAGUAGCGUACAAUAAAUACAAAAUCAAGAAAGUGAUGGUCAACAACAUAGUGGUGGUCGAUCGAAGACCAAUGAAAGCGAAGUCCGUUCUAGAAUUCGCAAGUGAGGUUCUGCCGAGCAUCACUGGAGCAGUGGUGAUAUCUACAAACAAGGGCCUGAUGACGCACCGAGAAGCAGCCAGCAUCAACGCAGGAGGACGCAUACUGGCGGUAAUUUAUUAAGGUGGUGAGUCGAAAAAAUUUUUUUUUUCUCUAAUAAAUUUGUGACAUGUCCAAAGAAGAAUUAAUAAUUAUUGUAGAAAGUGUUAACAAAGAAUUUCAAAAUCUAAACAAGAAUAAAAAUCGUCCUAGGUCAACCGAAAAUGUUCAAGAAAAAACUCAGAAGCUAGUUAAUCUACUAAAAACUUAUAAAAUAAUUCUAACAAAACUAGAGAGUUCUCUUUCAAUUAAUGAGUGGAACAAUGAGUGUUUGAAAUACGCAGAAUUAAAAACUACAUUCCAAUCUUGUAUAAAAAUUCUCAAAGAGUCCAAGUUAAUCAAAAAUCCAAAUCGUUUUAAAUUAGCUGUUAAAUCCAUUAUCAAUCAAAAUCGUUUAAGUAAACUCAUCAAAAUGCCUACUGUUGACAUUAAGUUAGGGACAGCCCUGGUCCAAACUUAUGAUGGAAAUCCCGAUAAUUUAAAUGCGUUCCUAGACGCGGUAGAUUUAUUCAAAUCUACAACAGAAACGGAAUUUGAAGCGGCAACACCCGCGCAAAAACAAGUAGCAGGGGAAACAAUUUUCAAAUUUGUUAAAACACGUCUCACUGGGGUUG
Long non-coding RNA from Armigeres subalbatus, 1253 nucleotides. RefSeq lists it as uncharacterized. The transcript has 2 exons. Lineage: Eukaryota; Metazoa; Arthropoda; Insecta; Diptera; Culicidae. The record is from RefSeq and is a predicted model, not a curated record.